UCUGCACGGGUUAUCUCACGGGUACUCGGGAAAUAUUAAAAAUUACAAAACUAUCCCUUAUUUUUAAUAUAUUUACAAAACUACCUAAAGCUAACCCUAACCCUAAUUAUCUCUUGUCUCUCUGGCACUCGUCUCUCUCACGCUCGUCGGGCCGCCUCUCUCGGUCUCUCUCACACUCUCAUUGUCGUCGGUAUCUCCGCCGUGCUCUCGGUCUCUGUUCGUCCGCCUCCUUCUCUCUCUCGGUAAGAGCUUCUCCCUGGCCUUGCGCUUCCGUCUUCUCCCUCGUUGCGAACCUCUCUCUCUCGGUAAGAGCUUCUCUCUCAGACAACUUACGCCUCUUUUUUUUUUACAAGUUUCAGCCCUCUCUCUCUAGUCUCUGAUCGAUCUAUGCAGCCGUCUUCUCCCUCGUUGCGAACCUCUCUCUAGACGUGCUCUCGCUCUCUGCUUUACUCUGUCUCGAUUCGGUCCCUGCCUUGCACUCCUCGGUUUAGUCUCUUGGUCUCUGCCCUGCUCUCCAAUUCGAGGUAAAUGUUCUUCCUCUCUGUUAUUUAGCUUUCUGGUUUGCAAAAUGGUAAGAGUUUCAUUAAUUUCCGGGUUGAAGGUUUCAUGCCUUUUAUGUCUCUGCAGCAGAAGCCUGGGUUGUAAUUUUAUGGGCUCUAUAAAAUUGAGAUUUAGGGUUUUAUGGGGUUGUAUUAAAAUACAAAAUUUUCUUCCUUUCGAAUGAAGUUCUGGUGUUUGUUGAGUCAUGUUUGGUUGAUUGAUUCACUUCAAGCGAGCUUAGCACUCUUGUAAGUAAGAAUUUCAGGGCGUCAUGUCCCAAAACCAUUAUAACAUGAACCCAUGAUAUAAACGAGAAGCGGUUGGAUGAUCUCUCUACCUUUGAAGAAGAUUUUCCAUCAAAGUCUUCAUUUGAGAAAGAAGCGGGUUAUUUAACCGAAUGAUGAGGUAUGUUCCUCGUAUGUGUUUAAGAAUUAUGAUGGAUUUUGGAUAUGUUUUGGUUUUGGACGUUGUUAAACUGUGAAUUUUAUGUUUUUUUUUAUGUUGUUGAACUUAUGAAUCAUGAUGUA
Molecule: long non-coding RNA, 1067 nt
Organism: Tarenaya hassleriana
Lineage: Eukaryota; Viridiplantae; Streptophyta; Magnoliopsida; Brassicales; Cleomaceae
Exons: 3
Source: RefSeq, a predicted model, not a curated record